This 681-nucleotide long non-coding RNA is filed under the name Equus caballus (horse). RNAcentral describes it as "lncRNA (ENSECAG00000056738.1)". Lineage: Eukaryota; Metazoa; Chordata; Mammalia; Perissodactyla; Equidae. The record is from RNAcentral.
AAAAUGAUUCUGUGCUCAGUGAGGAAGUGCUUUCAAGACCAUCUGGCGCCGAGUGGUGGAGUGGUGCUGUCGUAGAAGCUGCGAUGGUGUGUUAAUUCUCUCUCCCUCUUUCUACCCUGGUGAAACUGAGAUCCUUGAGGGUAGGACCUAUGUCUGCCUUAUGUAUCCUGAACCUACCCGAGAUGAGAGAGACGGAGGAACGCCACAUCACUCAAGAAAUGAGUUCAGCUGGUCUCCCAGAGCAGAAGUGGAAAAGGCUAUGUGGUGGGGCAGAAGGGAGUGAGUUCACCACGGGAGACAAGACUCGGAGUUCAAGUCUCUGGUUGGCUCAUGAGCUGGAUUAGGGGAUUAUGCACUCUUAACUUCGUAAUUGCAUGGGUGAAGGUCACGAAUCCUGGCACAGUUCUCAAUGGGGUCUGAGACAGAUUGCAUCAAGUCCCUGAUGGGUGCAGAGUCGCAUGGCAGGAUGCAGCCCCUGGAGCUGACCGUGUGCUGCCACAGCCAAGGUCGUGGUUCAUCGCAGCAACACGUGCCGUCGUUUUGCAGAUGAGGAAACAGGACUCAGCCAGCUGAAGAAAUUUGCCUAUUGUCACUCAGGAAUGGUAGAGCCAGAAAUUGGCUUCCAAAUUUCAAGACCCAUGCUGCCCUUUCUACUAGACUGUCUUUAAACAAUCGCCGUGA